UACGUAGGUGGCGAGCGUUACCCGGAAUCACUGGGCGUAAAGGGAGCGUAGGUGGCCUGACAUGUCGACUGUGAAAACCCGGAGCUCAACUCCGGACUUGCAGUUGAAACUGCCAGGCUUGAGGACGGUAGAGGAAGACGGAACUGCCAGUGUAGGGGUAAAAUCCUUAGAUAUUGGCAGGAACGCCGGUGACGAAGGUGGUUUUCUGGGCCGGUUCUGACACUGAUGCUCGAAAGCCAGGGGAGCGAACGGGAUUAGAUACCCCGGUAGUCCCUGAGCGGGCUGG
RNAcentral lists this ribosomal RNA (286 nucleotides) under uncultured prokaryote. Its description in RNAcentral is "partial 16S ribosomal RNA". It matches the Rfam family "Bacterial small subunit ribosomal RNA", at positions 524 to 812 of the family's 1533-position model. The record is from RNAcentral.